UGGGCGGCUCUCUUAGCCGCUCCAGAACAAGGGUGGGAAGUUUCCCCUGGUAUGCUUGGGCAUGAGGGGAAGGGGCAUGUGUCAAGCCCUCUCUCUGCUCCUUGUCUGCCACUGAGACAUUUCUUACAUGCCUUUGGAUUUCUUACAUGCAGUUGGCUCCCUGCGAGAAGGGCCCAGCCACAGUAGGACAGAGUGUAUGAUGAAAGGCAUCAGGCUGGCGUGGGAAGUUAUAGGUGAAUUGACCUAGGAAGGACAGCUCUGCUGGAGGGGACUUGGCAGCAGGAGGUACUGCCUCUGUCAAAUGUCAGAAGAUGGAGCUCUGAUAAUAGACUCCAGGGCUUGCAGGCUAGCUCUGUUUUAUGGGGCAACGCUGUCUGGGAAAGCCUGGUGGGUGGGGCUUAAUGCAGGCCCCUCCCCUUCACUGAGUCCCCUAUGGCUCAAAGCUGCUAAGGUACCACACAGACCCUCUGCCUCCACACUGUGCUAUGACCUGUGCUGUGGUUCCUGACUAUGGGUGGAAGCCUAGGCUCAUCAGGAAACUGCAUCUCCCCAGAUUAGCCUACUUCAACCCUCUGACUCCAGUCUAUACCCAAGAGCCCUGAACAAAGCCAAGCAAGGUACAGAUGGUUGAGGUCUGACCCUGGGGUGCUGGGGCAGAGAUCCAAGGGCAGACUGCUUGGGUGGUGGGAUCUUCAUUGCCCAGUCGAUUAUGGGAAAUUCCUAUGGAAUUAGUAAAGUAUACCUCUGGGUUCGUCUGUGAGGACGUUUCUAGAGAGCAGUGGACUAGAUACAGGGAUCGAUUAUUGAUUGAUUGAUUGAUUGAUUGAUUGAUUGAUACAGGGUUUCAUUACUGUAGCUUCAUUGGUCUGGAACUUGCUACAUAUGUAGAGCAGGCUGGCCUCAAACUCACAGAGAUCUACCUGCCUCUGCCUCCCGAGUGCACCACCAUGCCCAGCCCGUGGACCAUUUCUUGAGAGUGACAUAUUAUGGCAAGGAUUUAAAGAAUAUAUGAGAAUAUAAGGAGAAUCAGGAACUUUGAAAACUGCAACUAGAAGCUGGAGUGGGGCUGGGACCGGAUGUUACCGAGAAGGCACUGGGUCACGCUAACAGAUCAAUGAGGCCCUGACCUGGUUGGUGGUUCAACUUGGCCUCCUGCUCAUUUCUUACAAAUAAAGUUUUAUUAUGGUGCAGCCGCAUUCCUCAGCUCGUGCUGUCGCCGCAGGACAUCAGAGGAGAGCAGGAAGACUGGCAUGUUCCUACUGGCCCUGCCGAGCCUUGCCCCCAGUCUUGACCUCUUGACUCUACACUGUGAACCGCCAAGCGGGCGCCUCAGCUAUCAAAGAAAAUGUGCGUGUUACACUUCUGCUGGUGGCUGGACUUGUUCCAAAUCAUCAGAACACGAAUCCCCAAGGCUGACAUCUAUAAUUUGGAAAGCCAUAAAAAUGAAUACAGAUGAAACAUUAGAGGGCAGCGGUAUGAGAAAAGCGGGAACAAAGAGGCGCUUGCUGCUUUAAACAGGUCUUAAAACUGCUUUCAUCUGCGCGCUCGCCGCAGCCCAGUGAAAUUGAUUCAUUGACCAAAUUGGCCAUUUAGAUUCAAAAGGCUCAGCUUUCUGAGCGCAGCCCCCUCCCCUCUGGAUUUAUGGGGCUGUAGAGAGGCACCCACCAGUGGUUUCUUUUUUAAGGAUGAUCUACACUGAGGUAUCAGCCCCCUUCUUUCUGGAGAGCACACACUUGCUGGUCACUGCAGCCUGAAGGGGGUGCUGUGCCAGUCUUGGCUCUCAGGAGGUCAGCGGGCACCUUGCAAUGUCAGCCAGACCUUCUCUGGAUGGCUGGUCCACUCCUAACUGCUGUCUAGAUCAGUGUAAAGCUGCCAUAUCUGUUGGAAAGAGACUGAGGAACGCGACCACGGGAGAGGGCCUGCCUCAGCUCACCCAGCAGUCCCGAGCAUAAGUGCAAACAGCAUGGGGCUAGACCCUGAGCCUACAGGAAAGCACCACAGACAGCAUGGCUGUUUCUCCUGGGUGACAGGCAGUUGUGAACCGGCCCCUGUGAGAGUUACUUCGAAGAGAACACCUGUCUGGCCAUGCAUCCUAGAGCCUGCCACCUAGAGCCAAGAUGCUACCAGGAAGGAAGACAUGACAGGGAAAAGGCAGCGGGGAAUGGUUCCUGCAGAGCUCUGUUCUGGACAUGGAGAAUUCAGCAACCCAGUUAAAAACUUCCUGAGAAGAGCCACAGGUGCCAUAAAAACGAGGGAACCUCUGGAAGUGCAGCAGCUAGGAACAGGGCUCAGCGUGAGACUGGGAUUCAGGGUCUGUCUCAGAUCAGGAUUCCUGCUCGGCCUAAGACUGUGGUCAAGUCCAGGUGAGAGCGAGAGUUGUGUCAGUCUGAGAGGAGCAGAGAUACUAGGGCUCAGUUUUGAGGUGCACAGCACAGCUUUCCCCAUGUUAGGCAGUCUAGCGAUGAACGAUCCCUGGAUCUAUAGCUUUGCCCCGUGGAAUGGCUCAACCUUCCCUGAACCUGCUCUCCUGCUAGAUCACCCUUCUGGGCUGCACAGCAGCAGGCUGCUCCAGCCACAGCACAGCUGCUGUGUGACCGGUCUGCCUACUCCUGGACAAGAUAUGGACACCUGGGGCCCUGUACCUGGCACACCCCACCAGUUUAGGUGCCACACACACCCCACACACAACUGAGCAACCUUUGACCCGGAGAAAUUAGGUCAAUGAGUGAGAGGCACGUGGGGGGGCCUGGAGUUACCCACCCACAGGGCAGGGUCAGCAAGCUCCUGGGGAUGUUUAUUCAUAGGCAUUCUAGUCAGUAACAGAGCCAGCUUUUGGGGGAGGGGGGUUUGUAGGAACAAGAAAUCAGAAGGUCAGCCAUAACUGGCCAGGCCCCUGAUGGAGACCAUAGUUUGCAAAGGCCUCACGGCCUUUGCACAUGGCCACUGUAAGUUGAGCUGGAACCUCCAGGCCCUCAACCCCCACAUCGCUCCAUUUUCAUUAUUUUGUCUUAUAUUUUGUAACUUUAAUUACAUAUUAAGUGACAUACUAAAAAACCAUCGUUAAAAUUUAAGCCUUUGGUAAUACCGUUUUAUUACAUUUUGAUGACUUUAUAACUAUGAUACUUUAUUAUUCCUUCUAUGUUAUUCUAUGAAGGCACAGUGAGGUUUUUAAUAUCUAAUUACAGCACCGAGUGAUCAUUAAACCAGACGCAUGGUGAGCUCC
Molecule: long non-coding RNA, 3223 nt
Organism: Mus musculus (house mouse)
Lineage: Eukaryota; Metazoa; Chordata; Mammalia; Rodentia; Muridae
Product: Riken cDNA B020018J22 gene
Exons: 3
Source: RefSeq, marked validated